RNAcentral lists this ribosomal RNA (590 nucleotides) under uncultured haloarchaeon. RNAcentral describes it as "bacterial SSU rRNA". It matches the Rfam family "Archaeal small subunit ribosomal RNA", at positions 332 to 921 of the family's 1478-position model. Lineage: Archaea; Methanobacteriati; Methanobacteriota; Halobacteria; Halobacteriales; Halobacteriaceae. The record is from RNAcentral.
GCAGCAGGCGCGAAACCUUUACACUGCACGCCAGUGCGAUAAGGGGAUCCCAAGUGCGUAGGCAUAGAGCCUACGCUUUUGUCCACCCUAGGGUGGUGGACGAAUAAGGGCUGGGCAAGACCGGUGCCAGCCGCCGCGGUAAUACCGGCAGCCCGAGUGAUGGCCGAUCUUAUUGGGCCUAAAGCGUCCGUAGCUGGCCGCACAAGUCCAUCGGGAAAUCCACCUGCUCAACAGGUGGGCGUCCGGUGGAAACUGUGUGGCUUGGGACCGGAAGGCGCGACGGGUACGUCCGGGGUAGGAGUGAAAUCCCGUAAUCCUGGACGGACCGCCGAUGGCGAAAGCACGUCGCGAAAACGGAUCCGACAGUGAGGGACGAAAGCUAGGGUCUCGAACCGGAUUAGAUACCCGGGUAGUCCUAGCCGUAAACACUGCCUGCUAGGUGUGGCACCCACUACGAGUGGGUGCUGUGCCGUAGGGAAGCCGCUAAGCAGGCCGCCUGGGAAGUACGUCCGCAAGGAUGAAACUUAAAGGAAUUGGCGGGGGAGCACUACAACCGGAGGAGCCUGCGGUUUAAUUGGAGUCAACGCCGG